Molecule: ribosomal RNA, 120 nt
Filed under: Oncorhynchus mykiss (rainbow trout)
Lineage: Eukaryota; Metazoa; Chordata; Actinopteri; Salmoniformes; Salmonidae
Source: RNAcentral
GCUUACGGCCACACCGGCCUGAGUACGCCUGAUCUCGUCCGAUCUCGGAAGCUAAGCAAGGGUCGGGCCUGGUUAGUACUUGGAUGGGAGACCGCCUGGGAAUACCAGGUGCUGUAAGCU